Molecule: ribosomal RNA, 496 nt
Filed under: uncultured bacterium
Lineage: Bacteria
Description: partial 16S ribosomal RNA
Rfam family: Bacterial small subunit ribosomal RNA
Source: RNAcentral
GAUGAACGCUGGCGGCGUGCCUAAUACAUGCAAGUCGAGCGAACGGACGAGAAGCUUGCUUCUCUGAUGUUAGCGGCGGACGGGUGAGUAACACGUGGAUAACCUACCUAUAAGACUGGGAUAACUUCGGGAAACCGGAGCUAAUACCGGAUAAUAUUUUGAACCGCAUGGUUCAAAAGUGAAAGACGGUCUUGCUGUCACUUAUAGAUGGAUCCGCGCUGCAUUAGCUAGUUGGUAAGGUAACGGCUUACCAAGGCAACGAUGCAUAGCCGACCUGAGAGGGUGAUCGGCCACACUGGAACUGAGACACGGUCCAGACUCCUACGGGGGGCAGCAGUAGGGAAUCUUCCGCAAUGGGCGAAAGCCUGACGGAGCAACGCCGCGUGAGUGAUGAAGGUCUUCGGAUCGUAAAACUCUGUUAUUAGGGAAGAACAUAUGUGUAAGUAACUGUGCACAUCUUGACGGUACCUAAUCAGAAAGCCACGGCUAACUACGU